RNAcentral lists this ribosomal RNA (539 nucleotides) under uncultured archaeon. RNAcentral's name for it is "bacterial SSU rRNA". It matches the Rfam family "Archaeal small subunit ribosomal RNA", at positions 457 to 997 of the family's 1478-position model. The record is from RNAcentral.
GGCAGCCGCCGCGGUAAUACCGGCGGCUCGAGUGGUGGCCACUUUAUUGGGCUUAAAGCGUUCGUAGCUGGGUUGUUAAGUCUCUUGGGAAAUCCGGCGGCUCAACCGUCGGGCGUCUAAGAGAUACUGGCGAUCUGGAACCGGGAGAGGUGAGGGGUACUUCGGGGGUAGGAGUGAAAUCCUGUAAUCCUCGAGGGACCACCUGUGGCGAAGGCGCCUCACCAGAACGGCUUCGACAGUGAGGGACGAAAGCUGGGGGAGCAAACCGGAUUAGAUACCCGGGUAGUCCCAGCCGUAAACGAUGUGCGUUAGGUGUAUCGAUGACCACGAGUCAUCGAGGUGCCGAAGGGAAACCGUGAAACGUACCGCCUGGGAAGUACGGUCGCAAGGCUGAAACUUAAAGGAAUUGGCGGGGGAGCACCACAACAGGUGGAGCCUGCGGUUUAAUUGGACUCAACGCCGGAAAUCUCACCGGAUAAGACAGCGGAAUGAUUGCCGGGCUGAAGACUCUGCAUGACUAGCUGAGUAGAGGUGCAUGG